RNAcentral lists this ribosomal RNA (308 nucleotides) under uncultured bacterium. RNAcentral describes it as "partial 16S ribosomal RNA". It matches the Rfam family "Bacterial small subunit ribosomal RNA", at positions 505 to 807 of the family's 1533-position model. The record is from RNAcentral.
GAGACAGCAGUCGCCACGGUAAUACAGAGGAUGCAAGCGUUAUCCGGAAUGAUUGGGCGUAAAGCGCGCGCAGGUGGUUUAAUAAGUCUGAUGUGAAAGCCCACGGCUCAACCGUGGAGGGUCAUUGGAAACUGUUAAACUUGAGUGCAGGAGAGAAAAGUGGAAUUCCUAGUGUAGCGGUGAAAUGCGUAGAGAUUAGGAGGAACACCAGUGGCGAAGGCAGCUUCUUGGUCCAUUCCUGACGUUCAUACACGAAAGCGUGGGGAGCAAACAGGAUUAGAUACCCCAGUAGUCCCUGUCUCUUAUAC